GUGCCUGCCGACACCCGG
RNAcentral lists this unclassified non-coding RNA (18 nucleotides) under Chlamydomonas reinhardtii. RNAcentral's name for it is "small RNA Cre_2040". The record is from RNAcentral. Lineage: Eukaryota; Viridiplantae; Chlorophyta; Chlorophyceae; Chlamydomonadales; Chlamydomonadaceae.